This 1009-nucleotide long non-coding RNA is filed under the name Felis catus (domestic cat). Its description in RNAcentral is "lncRNA (ENSFCAG00000052192.1)". The record is from RNAcentral. Lineage: Eukaryota; Metazoa; Chordata; Mammalia; Carnivora; Felidae.
CACCUUUUUCAAGGCUCUAGAGGUUUACUUGGGUAUGAUUGUUCUGACUUGAUAAACUAUUUUACCUUUGCUGGAGUUGGAGCUCUGAAAUAUAAUCAAGCUUCAAUAAAUUCGUAAGAAAUACUUGUAAAAUGCAAUUCAAAUAUAUCUUAUAUGAGAAAAAUAGAAAAAUAGAGUGGGUAUUUAUAUUAGGGUAUUGCUAUUAUAGUGGGUAGCAACUGGGCCAUGGAUGGAAUACAGCUUAUUUUUUCUAAUGACAUCAUUUGAGCCCUCAUUUAUCUGGGAAGUGAAAAUCAAUCCCAGUUAUUGCUGUAUCUCUCAAUUUCCCAUUUUCUCUCAAGUUGCAUUCAAGUCCUAGGUUUUACCUGGUACAAUGGGUGCAUCAGUACAGGAAUUUAGGGGAGAGGGUGGGGUAAGCAUUGAUGAGACUUAAGACCUUAAGACCUGAUAAUUUAAGAAAUGUUUUCCCUCCUCUUGUAGGGUUAUCAAGACUGACAUUAAUUCAAAGGUCCCUUAGAAGCCACAUGCACUUCUAGCAAGACUGCCUUCUGCUCUGUUUCCAUGCCUGGAGGCAAUGGGGGCUGGCGAUGAUGUGGAAGAAAGAAGGCAUAAACUGCACAAUGGAAUAUCGUUGGAAAUUGUCUCAUGGACACAAGCUUUGAUUCCACAUCUGUAGACCUGACAGUAAAGGAGAAGAUUCCCCUCCCUUCCUCUCACCAUUCUUCUAAAGCUGGUCUCAAUUCAAGAUAAAAACUUCUUUCAAGAGCAGUUUGAAAAUUGAGGCCAAAAUUUGAAAUAUGCACCGAGCAAUUCUACAAUGAAGAAUGAAGAAUACAUUCUAUGGAAAUAUUCACAAAAGUACUCAAGGAUGUUGGUAAAAACAUUAUCUGCAUGGUGCAAGUGCAAAAGAGACCACAGAUGGAAGCCUGCUGCUCAUACAGCUGUGUCUUUGUUGGGACAUCCAUCGGAGAACAUCUCUAACUCCUUGAACUGUUUGAACUGUUCCUGA